UGGUUACAAAAGUGGUUACAAUAAAAUAUAUAGAAAAGGUGGAUCUUUUUUUCACAAAUUAGGAUUAUAAAACCGAAAUGAUUUUGUUUAUUUUUUAUCAACAAUAAACGAAACGAAUGUAGUUUCCAAACAACUUGUUCGUUUAUAUUGUUUGGUUGCGUUCGAAGGUGCUUAUUCAAUUUGAGUUUUACAAAGUGUACAUAUCUACAUGAUUUACCACGCAUGGUAUGUAGGUAUAUUAUGACAACAAAAGUACUUAAAUCAAAUCCCAACCUGUACUUCAAAAUUAAUACUGCUGUCAUUUCAAUAUCGGUAAAGAUAAAACUAUACUGAUGACAGUAUUGAAAUUGUAUACAGUAUUAAUUUAUAAUAGUUGCGUAAC
Molecule: long non-coding RNA, 382 nt
Filed under: Mytilus galloprovincialis (Mediterranean mussel)
Lineage: Eukaryota; Metazoa; Mollusca; Bivalvia; Mytilida; Mytilidae
Source: RNAcentral